GAAACUCUCCACAGCUGAGCCAGAAUGUCUGUAGUUUUAAGAUAGGACCCGUGAGUGUUCACCAGUUCUUCAAAAGAAACUGUCCACAGCUGAGCCAGAAUAUCUGUAGUUUUAAGACAGGACCCGUGAGUGUUCACCAGUUCUUCAAAAGAAACCGACCACGUUUGAGCAAGAAUGUCAACGGUUUUAGGAUAGAGCCCAGAAACCGACCACGUCUGAGCUAGAAUGACUAUGAUGGCUUUACGAUAGGAUCCAGAAAAGUCUUCUUACUGGCUAAAAGUAGAAACUUUUGUAUUCAUCACUUUAAAAAUGAUAUUAAUAACAAUCAUAAAAAUCUGAGAAUUACGAAAAUAAUAUAAAAUUUAACAUGUUUUCAGAAACCGACCACGUCAGAGCAAGAAUUUCAACGGUUUUAGGAUAGA
Long non-coding RNA from Sitophilus oryzae (rice weevil), 422 nucleotides. RefSeq lists it as uncharacterized. The transcript is spliced from 4 exons. The record is from RefSeq and is a predicted model, not a curated record. Lineage: Eukaryota; Metazoa; Arthropoda; Insecta; Coleoptera; Curculionidae.